AUGAUAUGAUGAGGACAAUCUUUAAGAAGAUACUUAAAUCUUUCUCGUCUAUUAUAGAUAUUUUUAUCUGGGUUUUGUUUGAAACUCAGGAUCUCACUCCUCAACCU
Molecule: non-coding RNA, 107 nt
Organism: Capsicum annuum
Lineage: Eukaryota; Viridiplantae; Streptophyta; Magnoliopsida; Solanales; Solanaceae
Source: Rfam